AGCGAACGCUGGCGGUAGGCCUAACACAUGCAAGUCGAACGGCGGCACAGUAAGAGCUUGCUCUUACGGGUGGCGAGUGGCGGACGGGUGAGGCAUAGAUCGGAAUCUACUUUUUCGUGGGGGAUAACGUAGGGAAACUUACGCUAAUACCUCAUACGUCUAAAGGGUGAAAGCAGGUGUUCUUCGGACCUUGCGAGCACGCAUGAGUGGUGGUCGGAUUAGUUAGUUGGCGGGGAAAAGGCCCACCAAGGCGACGAUCCGUAGCUGGUCUGAGUGGAGGACCAGCCACACUGGAACUGAGACACGGUCCAGACUCCUACGGGAGGCAGCAGUGGGGAAUAUUGGACAAUGGGCGCAAGCCGGAUCCAGCCAGACCGCGUGGGUGAAGAAGUCCUUCGGGUUGUAAAGCCCUUUUGUUGGGAAAGAAAAGCAGCAGGUUAAUACCCCGCUGUUCUGACGGUACCCAAAGAAUAAGCACCGGCUAACUUCGUG
Molecule: ribosomal RNA, 492 nt
Filed under: uncultured bacterium
Lineage: Bacteria
Description: partial 16S ribosomal RNA
Rfam family: Bacterial small subunit ribosomal RNA
Source: RNAcentral